Molecule: long non-coding RNA, 505 nt
Organism: Malaclemys terrapin pileata
Lineage: Eukaryota; Metazoa; Chordata; Testudines; Emydidae
Exons: 3
Source: RefSeq, a predicted model, not a curated record
AUCCCAGGCCGCCAGGAGGCUGGGCCGGAGGCCCGGACCCCGGCUGGCAAGGGGCCGGGCGGCUGGAACCCCAGACCGUCAGCGAGUAGGAGACACUCCGAGAGACCCCCCACCUGAAUAGCUCUUGGGUUGGGACACUCCCCAGGCUGCGUUACAGGAGACCCAGGCAUAAGUCGCUUCUCCACAUCAGGCAGAAGGGCGUGGUGGGAUUAAACAUUCUUCUUCCAGGUGUUGGGUUCCUGAAUAACAUGUGUUGAUGGCCCAUUAAGAUGAAUCAACUCUUCAGUGAGCCCCUCCUGAAGAUGCCUCAGAGGGCACAGAGAUAAUGGCUGCCCCAUGACUCAGCAAUGGCAUGUAAGGACAUGUGAUCCAAGACUCCAUGUUUGUGCCAGUAACUUUCCGUGCACGUGGGCUGGGUAUAUAAAAGUGGGGACUGUGAAUCACUUUGCCUCUUUCCUGCUCCACAUCUCUGGAUUGUGAUUUCUAACAAGAAGAGCUUUGAACA